RNAcentral lists this transfer RNA (82 nucleotides) under Apaloderma vittatum (bar-tailed trogon). It matches the Rfam family "tRNA". Rfam says of the family: Transfer RNA (tRNA) molecules are approximately 80 nucleotides in length. Lineage: Eukaryota; Metazoa; Chordata; Aves; Trogoniformes; Trogonidae. The record is from Rfam by way of RNAcentral.
GGCCAGUUAGCUCAGUCAGUUGAGCAUAGCACUAACAAUGCUAACAACGCUAAGGUCACGGGUUCGAUUCCCGUUCAGUCCC